This 619-nucleotide long non-coding RNA is filed under the name Coturnix japonica (Japanese quail). RNAcentral's name for it is "lncRNA (ENSCJPG00005010204.1)". The record is from RNAcentral. Lineage: Eukaryota; Metazoa; Chordata; Aves; Galliformes; Phasianidae.
UAUUUCAGGACUGAAGGAGGCUUUUCAGAAGCAAGAAUUCAGAUCUGUAUUUCUUUAAAGAACAGCUGAACAUCGAUCAUGAAGACAUUCAUCAGACAUUCCACCACCUUGUAUCCCUGCUUCAGAUGAGAUUAGCUGGCACUGGCUCCUGGCAUCCAUUAAUCUGGACAUUACCUGCAGCCUACUGAAAAUCCCCAACAGUCGUACUGAAUUCAGAGUCAAGCUUUCAACACACUGCUCCACUUCAGUGCCCUGCUAAGACCCAGCUCUACCCUGGACAAGCUCACAGAUGCAGGAAUUUGAAGGGAUUCUUCCGAUCCACCACCACAUUGUGACUUUCUGCAUAGAAAUGACAAGAUUGUUGAGCUGGUCACCAGGUUCAUCUGCUCCUGCUCUCAGACCCAGGCUUGUGCAACCAGAGAUUAUGUGGGAGUCCGCACAGACAGGAGCUGUGCUGCAGCAGUUUGAGACAGAUACCUUUCCUCUGAGAAUGAACUACUACUUGCAUUCUGCAAACAGAUGCUUGGAAGGAACAAGGAGGGAAGGAGAGGGAUAUGUGCAUCAUCACAUGACAGAAUCUGGCAGUAUAUUGCAGUCUUUUAUAUUUCUGGUGUUUUGA